This 192-nucleotide non-coding RNA is filed under the name Paenibacillus sp. RNAcentral describes it as "Lysine sequence". It matches the Rfam family "Lysine riboswitch aptamer". From Rfam's summary of the family: Riboswitches are metabolite binding domains within certain messenger RNAs that serve as precision sensors for their corresponding targets. The record is from RNAcentral. Lineage: Bacteria; Bacillati; Bacillota; Bacilli; Caryophanales; Paenibacillaceae.
CGAUGAGGUAGAGGUCGCGUUGUUGAUCAGUAGAUCAGGGGAGGUCCAGUAAGACCGACGAUCCCGAUUGAAAGGCAGCAUCGCCGAAGCCGUCCGGUAUUACUGACCGUGGCAGGCUGGGGCCGUCUCCGAAAAGGAACGGAACUGUCAUAUUGCUUUUAAUCAACGGCAAUAUGUUGUGCUAUCUUGAUA